RNAcentral lists this ribosomal RNA (492 nucleotides) under Lactobacillus acidophilus. Its description in RNAcentral is "bacterial SSU rRNA". It matches the Rfam family "Bacterial small subunit ribosomal RNA", at positions 567 to 1057 of the family's 1533-position model. The record is from RNAcentral. Lineage: Bacteria; Bacillati; Bacillota; Bacilli; Lactobacillales; Lactobacillaceae.
GAGCGCUGGCGGAAGAAUAAGUCUGAUGUGAAAGCCCUCGGCUUAACCGAGGAACUGCAUCGGAAACUGUUUUUCUUGAGUGCAGAAGAGGAGAGUGGAACUCCAUGUGAAGCGGUGGAAUGCGUAGAUAUAUGGAAGAACACCAGUGGCGAAGGCGGCUCUCUGGUCUGCAACUGACGCUGAGGCUCGAAAGCAUGGGUAGCGAACAGGAUUAGAUACCCUGGUAGUCCAUGCCGUAAACGAUGAGUGCUAAGUGUUGGGAGGUUUCCGCCUCUCAGUGCUGCAGCUAACGCAUUAAGCACUCCGCCUGGGGAGUACGACCGCAAGGUUGAAACUCAAAGGAAUUGACGGGGGCCCGCACAAGCGGUGGAGCAUGUGGUUUAAUUCGAAGCAACGCGAAGAACCUUACCAGGUCUUGACAUCUAGUGCAAUCCGUAGAGAUACGGAGUUCCCUUCGGGGACACUAAGAGAGGUGGUGCAUGGCUGACGUCA